RNAcentral lists this unclassified non-coding RNA (635 nucleotides) under Hevea brasiliensis (rubber tree). Lineage: Eukaryota; Viridiplantae; Streptophyta; Magnoliopsida; Malpighiales; Euphorbiaceae. The record is from RNAcentral.
UAAAUUUCAUUUCUUUUCUCUUCUAUCUAUUUCCAUCAAUCCAAACAAAGGGUAAGACUUGAAUACACUAAAAACUAAAGAGUCAUAACAAGUUGCUUAAGUCGAAAUCAAACUCAAAAUAGCCCUAAGGCUCAUACAAAAACAAACCCUAGUCUUCUGGCUUGACCUGAUAAUAGAUCUAACAAGGUAGAGGAAAGAUUUGGAUAUGAUAAUUGACGUUGUUGCCCAUCACCCAACCACCCAUUACUAAGCCUUCCCGAAGCAAGCGAAAGAAAGUUUUUAAUAGCUCAAUAGAAUCACAACACGCUACACAUAGUUAUUUCAAACCCAAAACAUUGCCAUUUGAUGAGAAGCAACCUUUAGCUAAGACAAGAACGAAAAGCCAUUAGUGAAUAGUGGAUCUAAGCCAAGGGGAACAUUUAGGUGUGGGGCAAAGCACUUUUGCACCUUCGACCUUUAAGAGAUUGGAUGCCCAAGAGAAUGGCACUAGUAACAUCUUCAAUAGAUAUUCACACAGCUAAACGAGUACCCCAGCAAUCCCAAGCAAAUACUGCCUUUAAAUCGAAGAAGAAAGUCAUUGACUAACCUCUAUCCAUGCACUAGUACACAACCACAGAGGAGAAGCCCUCCUGUUG